GGACACCUCGGGGGUUUCCUGCUUUAUGGCGAAGGGCCAGGGCCCCACACCUUCCGCCUGACAGCCAGCCAAGCUCUUCAGUCCCCCGCCCUCCACCUGCCAGGGAGGCUCCGGGCGUUGUACCUGCCACCACGGGGUAGGUCUGGUGAGUCGAGAGGUUGCGCCCCAGUGGCGUGUUGGAAGGGGUCAGGGUGGCCUUCCCGUCGUCCAGGGUGCUGUUGAGCAAGGGCAGCGGGUAGAGGCCCUGGGGAGCAAAGAGAAGUCAGCGCACAGAGACGAUCCAACAAGCCGACCUUCCUGCAGACCCUGAGCCUGUGUCUUAGGACUUGGCAGCCCUCAUCUCCCCAGGAGAGGUCCUCAUCGCCCCCUUCUUCCUUUACGUUCUCAACUCCACUCGGCACGUUUCGUUCAUGCUCAUUGUCCUCCCGCAUCCCUGGAAUUCAAGGCCAGCUGGUAGCAUGGGUGCCCAGACGUGGGAUAGAGAGUCUCAGCCAGAGGACCACACCCUGGUUGGAUGGCUGGUCGGCUUCCUGGUUUCACCACACUGUUGGGACCCACAGAAUGCAGGACGGUGCCAAGGACUGGAGCAGUCUCCAACCGGACUGUUCAGGGUCCUUGCAUCUGUUAAUUUAUUCUUCCCCAGAUAGGAAACCCAGGCACAAAGGUUUAAGAAACUUGUCCCACUUCCAGAUGGGCCAAAGAUAGGAUUCAGAUUCGAGGGAUCAGAAUGUGUCUGCUCUCAACCACUGCCCUAAACUGGGUGACAUAAGGACCACUUCUUACAUUUGCAAAGAGCUUAUAUCAGAGCUUUGCCUCUGUUGUCCUAGUAGAGUCCCCCAGCAGCCCAGUGACAUGGGUGAGUAAUAUUAUGUCUGUGUUUUAUAUGUGGAGCCUGGAACUCAGGUAAAUGGCCCAAUUUUGUAUAGUGAAACAGACUAAACCCGGGAUUUUUCGGCUGUGGACCCAGGUGCUUUACCCACCACGUGGAUUUCUUCUUUUCUCUCUCCACAUCCAAACAAAUAGAAGUGUGCAAGUUCGGCUUGAAAAUGGUAUUGAGAGUUGUUUUUGUUGGAAACACUCUUUGUCAAGUACCUGGGGGUCUUCAUCAGUAAGACCUCAUUUUAGAUGCCUCCUGGCCUCCCCUUCCCAGGAGCACAGCUAUGACCUUAGGUACUCCUUCCGAAAAGAACUUGUUUAACUAAAGGUAAGUGUACCUCAUCCUCACCAUGGCCUCCUUCCACUGGGGAAGCAGAUAGCGCAGAAAAAAGAACACACCCAUUCCCCACAUACCUUCACACUCGUCACAUACCUGCUACGUGAGAUGUGCAAAGCUGAAUUCAGGGAAUGCUCAGUAGUUACAUAACAGUGCCACUAAAGGCAAUUGUUUUCAGUGAUUUCCAUCGAGCUGGGUUCUGCAAAGAUCCACAGCACUUUCCGGUUGCAUGCUGGGCACUUUUGGAAGCUGCAGUCAAUUCUGGAGGCCACCAGGGCACCAUUAGCACAUAGCAGCAAUUAUUGACUAAAUGGUGCUCUGGUUCCAUGCCUUCCAAGGGGGCCC
Homo sapiens (human) is the source of this 1558-nucleotide long non-coding RNA. Ensembl annotates it as PAX8 antisense RNA 1. Its record names the gene PAX8-AS1. The record is from Ensembl. Lineage: Eukaryota; Metazoa; Chordata; Mammalia; Primates; Hominidae.